UCUUUAACUAAUGUAAUGUAAGCAAAUGGGAAAUGUGUCUCUAUAUCAUUAUGCUGAAAUCUAUCUCGUUGUUACAGGCUUUCAGAAGCUGCUGGAUCCUCUUCACUCUGACUUGCUGAUAGUUUUAUCUUGCAGCAUUAUUCUGAACGUUGCUUUCAUUUGUAUAAGAUGUAAACUGCCCUGUACACACUGUGCAGAUGAAAAGAACAGUGAUAUAUCAAAAGUGGAAUGGUCACGCAAGCAAUGCCAUGACGAGGACACACUGAAUUACGCUGCCCUGAACCUUAAGAAGCCAAAACCCAGGAGAC
Long non-coding RNA from Brienomyrus brachyistius, 308 nucleotides. RefSeq lists it as uncharacterized. The record is from RefSeq and is a predicted model, not a curated record. Lineage: Eukaryota; Metazoa; Chordata; Actinopteri; Osteoglossiformes; Mormyridae. The transcript is spliced from 3 exons.